Molecule: ribosomal RNA, 681 nt
Filed under: uncultured bacterium
Lineage: Bacteria
Description: bacterial SSU rRNA
Rfam family: Bacterial small subunit ribosomal RNA
Source: RNAcentral
AGAGUUUGAUCCUGGCUCAGAUUGAACGCUGGCGGCAUGCUUUACACAUGCAAGUCGAACGGCAGCACGGGGGCAACCCUGGUGGCGAGUGGCGAACGGGUGAGUAAUAUAUCGGAACAUGUCCGGAAGUGGGGGAUAACGUACCGAAAGGUACGCUAAUACCGCAUAUGCCCUGAGGGGGAAAGGUGGGGAUCGCAAGACCUAUCGCUUUCGGAGUGGCCGAUAUCGGAUUAGCUAGUUGGUGAGGUAAAGGCUCACCAAGGCGACGAUCCGUAGCUGGUCUGAGAGGACGACCAGCCACACUGGGACUGAGACACGGCCCAGACUCCUACGGGAGGCAGCAGUGGGGAAUUUUGGACAAUGGGGGCAACCCUGAUCCAGCCAUGCCGCGUGAGUGAAGAAGGCCUUCGGGUUGUAAAGCUCUUUCAGACGGAAAGAAACGGUUACGGCUAAUACCCGUGACUAAUGACGGUACCGUCAGAAGAAGCACCGGCUAACUACGUGCCAGCAGCCGCGGUAAUACGUAGGGUGCGAGCGUUAAUCGGAAUUACUGGGCGUAAAGCGUGCGCAGGCGGUUUUGUAAGACAGACGUGAAAUCCCCGGGCUUAACCUGGGAACUGCGUUUGUGACUGCAAGGCUAGAGUAUGGCAGAGGGGGGUAGAAUUCCACGUGUAGCAGUGA